Molecule: ribosomal RNA, 253 nt
Filed under: uncultured bacterium
Lineage: Bacteria
Description: partial 16S ribosomal RNA
Rfam family: Bacterial small subunit ribosomal RNA
Source: RNAcentral
UACGGAGGGAGCUAGCGUUGUUCGGAAUUACUGGGCGUAAAGCGCGCGUAGGCGGCUUUGUAAGUUAGAGGUGAAAGCCCGGAGCUCAACUCCGGAACUGCCUUUAAGACUGCAUCGCUUGAAUCCAGGAGAGGUGAGUGGAAUUCCGAGUGUAGAGGUGAAAUUCGUAGAUAUUCGGAAGAACACCAGUGGCGAAGGCGACUCGCUGGACAGACAUUGACGCUGAGGUGCGAAAGCGUGGGGAGCAAACAGG